Small nuclear RNA from Propithecus coquereli (Coquerel's sifaka), 107 nucleotides. NCBI's taxonomy places the organism in Eukaryota, Metazoa, Chordata, Mammalia, Primates, Indriidae. The record is from Ensembl.
GUGCUCAGUGCAGCAGCCCAUCUACUAAAAUUGGAACUAUACAGAGAAGAUUAGUGUGACCCUUAUGCAAAGAUGACAUGCAAAUUCAUAAAGCACUGCAUAUUUUU